GCCCGGCUAGCUCGGUCAGUAGAGCAUGAGACUCUUAAUCUCUGGAGCGUGGGUUUGAGCCCCACGCUGGGUA
RNAcentral lists this transfer RNA (73 nucleotides) under Pangasius djambal. RNAcentral describes it as "tRNA-Lys". It matches the Rfam family "tRNA". Rfam says of the family: Transfer RNA (tRNA) molecules are approximately 80 nucleotides in length. Their secondary structure includes four short double-helical elements and three loops (D, anti-codon, and T loops). Further hydrogen bonds mediate the characteristic L-shaped molecular structure. tRNAs have two regions of fundamental functional importance: the anti-codon, which is responsible for specific mRNA codon recognition, and the 3' end, to which the tRNAs corresponding amino acid is attached (by aminoacyl-tRNA synthetases). tRNAs cope with the degeneracy of the genetic code in two manners: having more than one tRNA (with a specific anti-codon) for a particular amino acid; and 'wobble' base-pairing, i.e. permitting non-standard base-pairing at the 3rd anti-codon position. Lineage: Eukaryota; Metazoa; Chordata; Actinopteri; Siluriformes; Pangasiidae. The record is from RNAcentral.